GUGCUGGCUUUGGCAGCACGUAGACCUAAAUUGGAAUGAUACAGAGAAGCUUAGCAUGGCCCCUGCGCAAGGACGCACGGAAAUGGCAAAAGGAACAUUGUAGAUGU
RNAcentral lists this small nuclear RNA (107 nucleotides) under Zalophus californianus (California sea lion). The record is from RNAcentral. Lineage: Eukaryota; Metazoa; Chordata; Mammalia; Carnivora; Otariidae. RNAcentral also lists the same sequence under 1 other name.